UCCAGGCAGGGGUGGAGCCUGGAUCGGGCUCUGAGGAGGGCUUGACCCAAGUGACCAGUGGGAGCCCUAGACCUCAGUUCUUGGACGCCUGGCUGGAAGUUGGCUGUCCUGCUUCCUGUGACCUUGGGGGCCUGAACAGGGCAGGGCCCAGGGUGCCCAGGCCACUGUCUCCUUCCCCACGCCUUUUCCCUUGAUCGCUCCGCCCUGUCGCUUCUACCUCCGCCCUCUACGGCUCUAAACUGCUUCCUGGGCCGGAACUGUGGCUUUUUCCUGCCCCAUUGGGGCUGGGGGCUGUCGCAGCUGUUGACAGUCAGAGGACAUGGAGCCCAGGAGGGCGACGCCUGGGGCGCACGUCUGGGGGCCUCAAGUGACUGCGGGGUCGGGGACGACCGCGGAGCUCGUGUACCAUCUAGCGGGGGCCCUGGGCACCGAGCUGCAGGAGCUGGCGCGCCGCUUCGGGCCGGAGGCGGCGGCCGGGCUCGUGCCGCUCGUGGUGCGGGCGCUGGAGCUCCUGGAAAAGGCGGCCGUGGGGCCCACCCCGGACUCGCUGCAGGUGGCGGCGCAGCAGGCCGAAGUGGAGCUGCGGCGGCUGCGGGAGGAGAACGAGCGCCUCCGCAGAGAGCUGCGCUCGGGACCGCAGGAGGACCGAGCUCUGCUGCGGCAGCUCAAGGAGGUGACCGACCGACAGCGGGACGAACUCCGGGCGCACAACCGCGACCUCCAGCAGCGUAGCCAGGAGACCGAAGCGUUGCAGGAGCAGCUGCAGCGCCUCCUGCUGGUGAACGCAGAGUUGCGGCAGAAGCUGGCAGCGGUGCAAACCCAGCUGCGCGCCGCGCGGGACCGCGAGAGCCAGCUCGAGCCGCGGCGCGAAGGGGCCGUGGAGCUGGCUCAGGGGCCGGCGCGGGACCAGGCCGAGCCGGCGACUGCUGGCGCAGGAGCCCCCGGGACCCCUGGGGACCCGGCGGAUGCCCCGCAGCAGCCAGGGCGCCCCUCCCAGGUGGGACAGUGCAACUUCAGUCGAGAGGAGCUUGAGCAGAUCCUUCAGGAGCGUAAUGAGCUCAAAGCCAACGUGUUCCUGCUAAAGGAGGAGCUGGCCUACUUCCAGCGGGAGCUGCUUGCAGACCACCGGGUCCCUGGGCUUCUCCUAGAAGCCAUGAAGGUGGCUGUCAAAAAGCAGCGGAAGAAGAUCAAAGCCAAGAUGUUAGGGACCCCAGAGGAAGCGGAAAGCAGAGCCAGCCACUCCAGCCUGGUUACCUCCUGAGCGUGCUGCCCAGACUGUCCUGCUGAGCCUGCCACUCCAGCCUGGUGACCCCCUGAGCCUGCUGUCCAGCCUGCCCUGUUGAGCCUACCAUUCUGGCUUGGUCACCCCUUGGGCCUGCUUCUCUAGUCUGGUCACUCCCUGAGCCUGAUAUCGAACCUGAAAGUCUAAAGAAUAUUGUGGCCGCGUGGUGUUACAAAAGAAAAUCAUCCCUCUUCAGACAUUGGCUUAUAGCUAUAGGCCGACUAUCAGCCAAGGUUUUUCCCUAGGGGCUCUUAGGUGGAAUAGAGGCAGCACCUCCCAUGUUAACACUUUUAAAAGGACAGACAAACAGACAACAACAACAAAUACCAAACAAGCACGCUUUCCCAAAACCACUCGGGCACAAAACCACUCGGAAGCCAAAAUGAAGACCAAAACCAAAAACCAAAGUGCUUCCAGUCCCAGCUUAGUCCGUGUCCUGCACUCGGGGGGCGCCCAACAAAUGAAGAUUCGCCAUGCAGACCUUCCCAGAUGAGCAAGGACAAGGGAACUUGGUUGUGCACACCCGGGGGACUUACCAAAAUCUGGCGAGGGCUUGGAGACUUCAAGACAGACGGAGCCCAGAGGGCUGCCAAAGUACCCAUUAUUUCCGGCCGGUCCUGUUGGAAAAGGUUAACACAAAGACAAAGACAAAAACUACGAGCCACUUACAAGAGACGUCUUCCUAAGUCCUAAACCUAGUUUCUUCCACCACCAAAGCAAAAGUGCUGUGGGCCAACGAUGUCGGGUCAGCAGCCAGUCGCUUGGGGCUGUCCCUGCGACAAGGGGCUCAGGCAGCUGCAGGACAGCUUCCAAGAGAGACCUUUAUCCAGAGGCCAGUGUGCCACAGGCAAGACGUCCAUCUGGGACAUUGUCCCAUCUGGGUCUCCAAAUUGAUACCGAACCUGAAUGACGACGAGGAUGGCUCAUGGCUCCUGCUCUCCAGCGAUAAGGGAGACCACCCCCCACCCCCUGAAUCCAGAAUACAGAGUUUCUUUGGCCUGUGGUAUCGGGGUGACACAGAGGCCCCUGAAGCCGAGACCAGCAGC
Non-coding RNA from Equus caballus (horse), 2328 nucleotides. Lineage: Eukaryota; Metazoa; Chordata; Mammalia; Perissodactyla; Equidae. The record is from RefSeq and is a predicted model, not a curated record.